GCCUUAAGCAUAACAAGUAUUUAAGGUACUGCCUGCCCAGUGACACAUGUUAAACGGCCGCGGUACUCUGACCGUGCAAAGGUAGCAUAAUCACUUGUUCCUUAAUUAGGGACUAGAAUGAACGGCCACACGAGGGCCAAACUGUCUCUUAUCUCCAAUCGGUGAAAUUGACCUCCCCGUGAAGAGGCGGGAACAAAAAUACAAGACGAGAAGACCCUAUGGAGCUUCAAUUAACUAACUCAAAUACAAAAAUAUAAGUCUAAGGACAUAAAAAAAUAUUAAUGAGUUAGCAAUUUUGGUUGGGGUGACCUCGGAGAACAAAAAAACCUCCGAAUGACAUAGACCUAGACUUCACAAGUCAAAGUGCUAAAAUCAUCUACUGAUCCAACCCAUUGAUCAGCGGAAUAAGUUACCCUAGGGAUAACAGCGCAAUCCUAUUCUAGAGUCCCUAUCGACAAUAGGGUUUACGACCUCGAUGUUGGAUCAGGGCAUCCCAAUGGUGUAGCCGCUAUUAAA
This 516-nucleotide ribosomal RNA is filed under the name Dendrohyrax dorsalis (Western tree hyrax). Its description in RNAcentral is "partial 16S ribosomal RNA". It matches the Rfam family "Bacterial large subunit ribosomal RNA", at positions 1818 to 2569 of the family's 2925-position model. Lineage: Eukaryota; Metazoa; Chordata; Mammalia; Hyracoidea; Procaviidae. The record is from RNAcentral.